CCUACGGGAGGCAGCAGUGAGGAAUAUUGGUCAAUGGUCGGGAGACUGAACCAGCCAAGCCGCGUGAGGGAUGAAGGUACAGAGUAUCGUAAACCUCUUUUGUCAGGGAACAAAGGCGGGGACGUGUCCCCGGAUGAGUGUACCUGAAGAAAAAGCAUCGGCUAACUCCGUGCCAGCAGCCGCGGUAAUACGGAGGAUGCGGGCGUUAUCCGGAUUUAUUGGGUUUAAAGGGUGCGCAGGGGUUAUGUUAAGUCAGCGGGCAAAGCCCGGGGCCAAACCCGGGCCCGACGUUGAAACUGGCAGGCUGGAGUUGGAGAGAAGUAGGCGGAAUGCGGGGUGUAGCGGUGAAAUGCAUAGA
This 358-nucleotide ribosomal RNA is filed under the name uncultured bacterium. RNAcentral describes it as "partial 16S ribosomal RNA". It matches the Rfam family "Bacterial small subunit ribosomal RNA", at positions 338 to 694 of the family's 1533-position model. The record is from RNAcentral.